CACCCACCCCGGAUCGCGGCUGUCUUAAGGGACCUGGAUUCAUCAGGGGCUCUUCGGGGCCUGUGCGAGUGCUGAUCUGCUCCGUUUUUGCAAAAGGCGCCUGUGUCUGGCAGAGCUGGUGUGAGACGAGACAAUCCUGCCCCGCCGCCGGGAUAAUCAAGAGUUUUGGCCGGACCUUUGAGCAUACACCGAGAGAGUGAGGAGCCAGACGACAAGCACACACUAUGGCGCUGAAACGGAUUAAUAAGGAACUUAGUGAUUUGGCCCGUGACCCUCCAGCACAAUGUUCUGCAGGUCCAGUUGGGGAUGAUAUGUUUCAUUGGCAAGCCACAAUUAUGGGACCUAUAAGCAACUAUAUGCUGGAUAAUUGAAUAUUCAGAAUUAUGGAUACCAUCUAAGAAUUUCAGAGAAUUAGAGCGCACUAAAACAUCCUGGGAAUGACAGCCCAUAUCAAGGCGGUGUAUUCUUUUUGACAAUUCAUUUUCCUACAGACUACCCCUUCAAACCACCUAAGGCAAG
RNAcentral lists this long non-coding RNA (519 nucleotides) under Pan troglodytes (chimpanzee). RNAcentral's name for it is "long non-coding RNA NONPTRT013158". The record is from RNAcentral. Lineage: Eukaryota; Metazoa; Chordata; Mammalia; Primates; Hominidae.